ACGGUGACUAGUCUGCGCCUCUGCUCCGCCUGUUGGCUCUGACAAGACAUUUCUGGUGUUGCACGUGACCCUAAUUCGGGCAACUGGAGUGUCCCAAAAAAAGAAAGACCUGCAUGUUUUUGUGAAUGCGGGCGGAAACCAGAGUACACGGAAAAGAUCCACACACACAAGGAGAAUAUGCAAACUACAUGCUGUGAGGCAAAAGUGCUACCCACUGCACCACCGUGCCACCCUGUAUCCUUUCAAUGAAUGAGAAAGUUAUUAGUAGAAACGUGUGAAUCAUAUUUUAAAUCCUCUCUCCUUUCCUGUCUCCUUUCCAUCCUAAUCUCCACCCUGUUUUAACGCAUUCACUCCAGCAUAUGCAUGAACACGUGUAUGAUAAAGAAAUUCACUGUGACGUAAUCCCUGCCAACUACAUCCUAAUGGCGAAUUUCAGUAAAUUAAGUGUAGAUAUUGUGACCUUGUAGAAGCUUCUUUUGCACCAGAAAGCAGUCGCAAUUCCCUUUUUUUUAAAAGAUGAUGAGUCGUUGUUGCAUCGUAAAUUUAAUUCUAAGCCAGUUUUUUCUAUCUUUUAAAACAGAAUGCAGUGCCUAUUUCUGUGUUUUUCCCUUCAGGUUAGGGAAGUUGUACUGCCUCUUCUAUAAAGCGCUGGGGGAAACCCUGCUCAGUAUUACUUACUUUCUUAUCUUACAAGCACAGGUUACCCAAUACUAGAUUUUGUAUUAAUGGACUAUUUUAAGCCUGCCGUGAAGUGGCGGCAAUUCAUGCGUUUGAUGGCGGGGGCAAGAAUGUCUGCAGCUACUCCCUCAAGAGGAUUUAGCUCCUUUUAUACUUCUAUACACACAAGUGCACCUCAGGACAAAGUGUCCUCAUCAGUUCUCCACUCCUCCAACCAUUCAUUUUAAACGUCACCUGAUAUACUGCAGUCACUGAAGAUAAAUGCCUUAGCACAUCUAAUGCUGUUGCCUUUAUAAACUUGCGAUUUAAAUCGUGCAAUUUAAAUGCAAAAUAAACAAGUAAUAAAUAAACUGUUGCCUUCUUUUCAUCCACUCAUCAAUACCUUCCCAAGUAAUGUUUCUUCCUCGUACUUCAGUCCCCAAAUUUGUUUUCGUUUGCAUUUAAACUUUACAAUAAUAAAUGAACUGAGCCUGAACCAGAAACCCCUUAUAGUACAUAAAUCUUUUUAGUCUCAGACAAUGGCAGCUAGAAACAAAAACAUGAUCGGUUCUGUACAUACAGUCACAUAUACAAGGUAUUUUUGGUUGCCUUUUCUAUUGUGGCCACCUUCCCCUGGGCCCUUGAGGCAUGUUUUAGUUGAAAUGGGAAAGACUGUGUGAUGCUUGCCCCAGAGAUGGUGAGUGACAUUUUCGUGAAUCGAUUGGUUCUGUCUGUAUUGCUCUAGAGAGGAUGGAAAUAGGCCUCGGUUAAUGGUCCUCUUCUCAGAGGACACUGACUUACAUUAUGACUGGCAUACUUUUCCUGCAGUGUACUUUUUGCAACUGCUUUUUAUGUGCCUUAACAAUAGCUUUUAUAAUAUAUAACUAUAUUUUGUGUUUCCUGAUUUCUUGACAUUCCCAUAUACUUGAAGUACAUAAAUUCACUGUGUUUGAUAUUCAAAUAUCUGUCACAGAGGGAUGGUGAUUAAUUCAGUUCUCAUUUCUGUUUACAUUCCAGGCCCUUUGUUUUUGUCUUGAUGGGAGAGUGGGACUUUGCAAACAGCCUUUUGGGUGGGGCUGUUAUGAACUGCGAACUACACGGUCAUGUUAACCGUACAAAGCACUUGUCUCGAAACAACGGCACCUAGUUCUGGGGGGGCACUCACAGCACAGUAUGUCAUCUUGCCAGAGCCUGAUGAACAUUGAUCAACCACUCUGAACUGAAUAACAAAUGAAAAGCUACAGAGAAAAUGAUAUGUCAUUGAUUUAACAAUCAUAUAUGUUAAAUUUAUAAAUAAUUCUUUAGGUCAUGCAAUACCAUUACAGUUAUGUUAUAAUUACUGUGCCGUCAAAAAGUAUUCAGACCCCUUCACUUUUUCCACAUUUUGUUACGUUACAGCCUUAUUAUAAAAUGGAUUAAAUUCAUUUUUAUUCUCAUCAAUCUACACACAAUACCCCAUAAUGACUAAGCGAAAACAGGUUUUUAGAAAUGUCUGCAAAUUUAUUAAAAAUAAAAAAUUGAAAUAUCUUUUACUUGAGAAAAAGGGGCUAAUGUUUGUGUCAUGGGUUGAAAGUAUAUAUCUGGGAAAAGAUUUCAAGUCCAUUGCAAACGAUUAGCAGUGGUGAACAUCCACUGGCUCACCAUCCUUGGAAAUGAACUGUUGACAAUCGCUUUCAUCUCCUAAUUAUGGAGCUUUAAUGCGAUCAGUAAGCACAGACCAUGUGAGGCAGAAAAAUGAGGUCCUAGGUACUGUAGCAGUGAUUAACCCUGAUAAUCAAAUGUAAGCCUUAACUGCAGUAAAGCCUUGACUAUAUUAACCUCAGUUACUUUGAACUACGUAGGGUUCAUAAGCCAUACAUUGUAUUCGUGUUGAAUCUCACUGCUCCUCUCCACUCCUAUGGGAUCAAAAGCCUGCCCAAAACAUGAGGUUUCUUAUCCUUUUUAUUGCCUUAAUUAAAUUAGCCUGCGGAACAGAGCCAAACUAAACUGCAGAGUCUCAUUCAAGUCAGCAGCAAUUAGAUCAGCAUAUCUUAAAAGUACAAACCAAUCAUUUAAAAGCUUGUUUGGAUUGAAGGACCAUACAAAGAAAAUACAUAAAUAUAUUUUAUAUUUAUGUUAAUGACCUGGUGUAAAGUAUAGUUUUGUAUACAGUGUUUUAAUUUUUUAUUUAAUUGUAGAUUUCCAUGAGGUAUUGCUGCCGACAGAGAUAAAUUAUUUAUUGUGCAUCUAUGAUAUAUAGCCUACCUGUCUUCCAAAUGUCUCCCAUUAUGCAUGUGUACAUCAUUGACGUUAAAUAAUUUAAAAAGUGCCUUUUAGGGUGUGUGUUAGUAUCCACCAUUAAAUAAUUUAGUUUGAGUGAUCAAGCUUUAGGAGAUGAGGUUCAAAACCGCAGCAUUAUCAGGUGAAAUGCCAACCUUGCAGCCUUCACAUAGACAGCAGCUGCUUUGCAGUAAGAGAUGUCAGUUUUCCUAGCCCACAGCUUUGUUUGCAAUUUAUAUUCAUAACAUUUGUUUGUCAUAAAGAAGGUCCACGGGGGUUUAAUUUAUCCAGAUAAUCUGCUGAGUUAGCAUACAUGGUCAUACAGUGCUGAUACUUUGUGAGUGUGUAUUAUGUGGCGUUGAUGUGCUGUAGAGUUCUGAUGUCAUUUCUACAGCCUUCCAUUGUGAAGCUUCUGCUGCACUCUGAACGAGUUUGUGUCUGCUUAUUCAGAGAUUAGCCAAGGUAAUCUCAGCAGUUGAAAGUAAUGUACAAUUAGUAAUGUGCUCUAUCCACAUGAACGCCAUUGCUAGGGUAGAAUUGGUAGUGUAACAUUAGGCCUACUCCGCUUGCUUAACUGAACAUUUGUUUGUAUAAAGGACCAUUAAUUUAAAAAAUGAAUGGUCCCAAUGGAAAAAUAAAUAAAUACAGCUGUUUGAAUGCUUUGUCCUGACGGCCUAUUUACAUUGGAAUAUGAUCUUUGUUGCAUUUUUGUCAGGACCAAGAAAAACAGGUUCAAUAAUGAAUAUAACUUUUAAAAAGUUUGAAGGACAAACUUCAAUAUUAGUUAGCUUGUGCUUGUGAUUUUUGAAAGGUUAAACUUACAAGGAAGGUCUACAGACAGUCAUGUUAAAAUAGUGGUAUCAACCUGAAAGUCAAGUUUCUAGUCCACUUUGAUCCAGUGUAGUUGUAGCUAUUACCUAGCUUACUGCUUGUUACAAACUGGAAUCAUUUACAGAGUUUGGUUGUGUGCAACUCCUACCUACAACUAAAAUAGAUAGCCAGCUCGAUAGUAGCAAACUUUCAAAUGUCAAAGCACCUGAAAGUGCUCUGGUGUUUGGUGGAUUUUUUCAUACGCCACACUCUGAAAGGUCUUUAUCACAUUGGCUAUGCAAAGGCUGACCACUUCAUUACUUAAAUGCAUAUGUAUAGCCAUAAUAUCAAAAAAAAAUGUCUGCCUUUGCAAUUGGAAUGACCAGGCGUAUAAUCAGUUAAGAAUUAAGGUACUUAUACUGAUCAGAGAACUAAAAGUCCGCCUUGUAUGUUUCUGAAAAAUUGAGUACUUUCACGUGCCUUGGGGUCGGGUGGGGAAGCUUUUCCAUUCUGAUCUAUAUUCAAAGGUAUAAGGAGUGCCAGUAAGCCUAAGGGGAAGAAAAGUGUGCUUUUUAAAAUUAUCCAGUGGAUAUUUUGUUAUGGUUACAUGCAGUUUUUUUAAUACUCUGGUAGUUUUAACCAUGUCCUAGUUCUGAUGAUGCUUAUUUUUUCAGUAGUUUUAUGUCAUCUCUCCCUGACUUAAAUAGGUAUCAACUUAUAUCGGGGGAGAUUUUAACUGCUAUGUACAUUCAGUAUUGGAUAACCCAUGCUAUAAAGCAAAGUUCACAGAUCAUGUCCCACUCUGGAAAGGCCUUUCCCUUCUGAAAGGGUAGAUACUGGCAGUUUAAUAUUAAGUUAUUGCCUGAUGAAAAGUUUAUGAAAUUUUGGCUUGAAUGGAUUCAGGUUUUUCUUAGAUAUUAACACAUCCCCUGUGGCUGAGAAGAUCACUGUCUGGGAGGCAUUAAAGGCAUAGCUACAAAAUAAAAUUAUCUCCUGUACUGUACAGAGGGCUAAUAUGUCUAAAAACUAAAACUAGAGUUGACAGAACAUAAUCUCCAUUCAGUUAAACAGCAUGCCAUCUCUCCACAGCCGUUUGUUUACAAGGAAUGUGUGAGGCUGCAGACAGAAUUUGACCUUCUUAAACCAUCAAACUGAAAACUAAUCAAGAUGAAGUUUUCAUUCUGUGAAGAGGGUGAGAAGAUAACAGAUUUAUGGCUCAUCAGUUGUAUUGUUCCAAAGCUGCACUGCUGAUUACUGGGCUUUGCACAGUCAGGGUGAGUCAUGUCUGACCAGAGUUGAAUCAGUCAAAUUUCAAAAGCUGUAUUUUAACCUGUACAUCUUAAUUAGAGACAAGGGGCUGUUGAGUGGCUCCUCCUAUUAAGGCUGUGUUCUAGGGCAUGGGUGGGCCCCAUAGUCAUGUUUUAGUCAGGCAGGAUGAUAAUAUCUCAUCACACACCUUCAACCCCUGAUGGGCAAUUGGGUGCCUACAAGUUUCUGUGUCUUUUUUAAUAGUAUGUUGGUGUGUGUUUUUGAUUGGCCCAGACAGUGUUUUGUGUGUGUGUGCGUGUGAAUGUGUGUGAGAGGAAGGAUGUUUUUAAUAUUGUGUGAUUUGUGGUCUAAAGCAAAAAAAAAUGCCCGACAGGUAACUCCAAAGCAGCUUGAACAGUGACUUUUCUUAUUAAUGGAGUGGUGCAUGGGGCUUGUGCAUUAAUGUAAUGAUGCAGAGGGUUUGUGCAUAGUAGUCUGCUUCCCUUGGAAGGAGUCGGAUGAUUUGUGUGGAUGUAGCAUCCUGUUUGCAGUCUGUUUGGGGGCAUUAAUAGGGGUGUUGCUGCUGUAGAGCUAAUGGAGAGCUCAUUGUUCUUCCUGGCCCUCCAUGAGUCCCUGCCAGACCCCCACUCCACCUUUGCAUGUCUAUGCAUCUCUGUGUACUCUGUCUUUCACCGUGUCUUUUUUUGUCACCUCAGGUUGGAAGCGACACGGAGGUGCAGUGGGUAGCACUGUUGCCUCACAGCAAGAAGGUUUCUGUGUGCAGUUUCUCCAGGUACCCCGGCUUUCUCCCACAGUCCAAAGACAUGCAGGUACGCUAAUUAGAGACUGCAAAUUGCCCAUAGGUAUGAGUGCGUGAGUGAAUGGUGUGCGUGCCCUACGAUCGAUUGGCAGCCUGUCCAGGGUGCAUACCUGCAUCUCACCCAAUGCAAGCUGGGUUAGACUCCAGCACCCUCCACAACAGUGACCAGGGUAAGUGGGUGUAUAUAAUUGUAGUUGUAUUCCAGGUUUCCUGAACCACAGCCCCCUAAUGUCAUCCUCCAUCUGCACCACAAAUCAUCAAAUACUGCAUGACUGCCUGGUAUACUAAUGUUUCUGUUCAGGCUAGAUAAAAAAAGAAUUCUGAACCUCUUUAGACUUGCUUCAAAGUACUGAAUUGUCUUCUGUUGGAUGUUUCUGCACUUACAUUUUUGACCGUGAGUCUGUCUUUUUAUUUAUUUACAUGUAUUUGUGUUUAUUUAUUGACUGUUAGGUACUUAAAUGGUAAUUAUGCAUGCUUUACUCAUAUAGCUUGGAUGAUAACUGAUUAGGACAGGGCUGUAUGUUAUGAUUAUGAUCAUGUAUCAUGUCUUUUAUUAUAUUGUUUGUUGUUAAAUGAGUAUUUGUUUUCAAGUGUGACUACUAAGAUUUUUGUGUGCAGCAGACAAUAAAGAUCUGUCUAUCUAUC
This is a long non-coding RNA of Anguilla anguilla (European eel), 6439 nucleotides long. RefSeq lists it as uncharacterized. The transcript has 2 exons. The record is from RefSeq and is a predicted model, not a curated record. NCBI's taxonomy places the organism in Eukaryota, Metazoa, Chordata, Actinopteri, Anguilliformes, Anguillidae.